CACGUUUAUCUCUGUCUCUGUCUCCGCUUACUUGUAGGCUCUCUGCCAGGGCUGGGGGGGUAGGGGGUGGCGUCCAGAGGCGAAUCAUGAGCCCUGCCCACAGCGAGCAUGCAGUCUAGGGGUCAAGACAGAAUUGUCCACAACCAGCGGUAACACAGGCUAAUGCAGCCAGGUGGAAGCAGGGGCUCCGGUGAGAAGGUCACAGUGACCACGGAAAUGAUCAGAAUUACCUUUUAUUGAUGCCUGCUAUCAUCCUCACAACAAGAUGUGGAAGUGCACCCAUGGGAUUUCGAAGAACCCUUCACAGACUUGCCUCCAAGACCCACUCGACAGCCCUGUGAGAAUCUCCAGAUGAGGUCUCUGUCUUGCUGCCUCACUGAAGGUCACAGCUCAGAAACGACCUGAGGCUGACUCUUCAAGACAUGCUACACAGAGGGUGCCCUGCCUGAAAAUGCUGCCCCACUGUGGGUAUGAGAACACUGACACUAUAGUGCAGUCAUUGAAAUAGAUCAAUGAAGAUCCCCCAAAACCCCACUACUCACAAAUCCUAACAAUGGUGGGGUGGAGGGAGCAAUAC
Long non-coding RNA from Myotis davidii, 577 nucleotides. RefSeq lists it as uncharacterized. The transcript has 3 exons. The record is from RefSeq and is a predicted model, not a curated record. NCBI's taxonomy places the organism in Eukaryota, Metazoa, Chordata, Mammalia, Chiroptera, Vespertilionidae.